AUUGAACGCUGGCGGAAUGCUUUACACAUGCAAGUCGAGCGGCAGCACGGGGGCAACCCUGGUGGCGAGCGGCGAACGGGUGAGUAACACAUCGGAACGUACCCUGUCGUGGGGGAUAACGAAUCGAAAGAUUCGCUAAUACCGCAUACGACCCGAGGGUGAAAGCGGGGGAUCGCAAGACCUCGCGCGACAGGAGCGGCCGAUGGCGGAUUAGCUAGUUGGUGGGGUAAAGGCCCACCAAGGCGACGAUCCGUAGCGGGUCUGAGAGGACGGCCCGCCACACUGGGACUGAGACACGGCCCAGACUCCUACGGGAGGCAGCAGUGGGGAAUUUUGGACAAUGGGGGCAACCCUGAUCCAGCCAUUCCGCGUGAGUGAAGAAGGCCUUCGGUGUAAGACUCUUCGGUCAGGAACGAAAAGGACGUCUCUCUAACAUAGGGGUCGAAGUGACGGUACCUGAAGAAGAAGACACCGGCUAACUACGUGCCAGCAGCCGCGGUAAU
RNAcentral lists this ribosomal RNA (503 nucleotides) under uncultured bacterium. Its description in RNAcentral is "bacterial SSU rRNA". It matches the Rfam family "Bacterial small subunit ribosomal RNA", at positions 29 to 524 of the family's 1533-position model. The record is from RNAcentral.